Molecule: ribosomal RNA, 108 nt
Filed under: Frankliniella tritici
Lineage: Eukaryota; Metazoa; Arthropoda; Insecta; Thysanoptera; Thripidae
Description: partial 5.8S ribosomal RNA
Rfam family: 5.8S ribosomal RNA
About the family: 5.8S ribosomal RNA (5.8S rRNA) is a component of the large subunit of the eukaryotic ribosome. It is transcribed by RNA polymerase I as part of the 45S precursor that also contains 18S and 28S rRNA.
Source: RNAcentral
GCUAAUUGCGCGUUGCCAUGUGAACUGCAGGACACAUGAACAUUGACAAUUCGAACGCACAUUGCGGCCCUAGGACUUGUUCCUGGGCCACACCUGACUGAGGGUCGG